UGGGGAAUAUUGCACAAUGGGGGAAACCCUGAUGCAGCAACGCCGCGUGAGUGAAGAAGGGUUUCGGCUCGUAAAGCUCUGUUGUUAAAGAAGAACACGUAUGAGAGUAACUGUUCAUACGUUGACGGUAUUUAACCAGAAAGUCACGGCUAACUACGUGCCAA
Molecule: ribosomal RNA, 164 nt
Filed under: uncultured bacterium
Lineage: Bacteria
Description: partial 16S rRNA
Rfam family: Bacterial small subunit ribosomal RNA
Source: RNAcentral